Molecule: ribosomal RNA, 364 nt
Filed under: uncultured bacterium
Lineage: Bacteria
Description: partial 16S ribosomal RNA
Rfam family: Bacterial small subunit ribosomal RNA
Source: RNAcentral
CCUACGGGGUGCAGCAGUGAGGAAUAUUGGUCAAUGGCCGGAAGGCUGAACCAGCCAUGCCGCGUGAAGGUCAGUGCCCUAUGGGCGUUAAACUUCUUUCGUCCGGGAGCAAUAAUGGUUACGUGUGGCCAGACGAGAUUACCGUUCGAAUAAGCAUCGGCUCACUCCGUGCCAGCAGCCGCGGUAACACGGGGGGUGCAAGUGUUAUCCGGAUUUAGUGGGUUUAAAGGGUGCGUAAGCUGUGAGGUAAGUCAGCGUGGGAAUGCCCCCGCUCAACGGGGUGAAGUGCCCUUGAUACUGGCAGGCUGGAAUGCGGGUGCGGGGGGAAGAAUGUGUGGUGUAGCGGUGAAAUGCGUAGAGAUCA